CCUACGGGAGGCAGCAGUGAGGAAUUUUCCGCAAUGGGCGAAAGCCUGACGGAGCAAUGCCGCGUGGAGGAUGACAGCCUGUGGGUCGUAAACUCCUUUUCUCAGAGAAGAAGUUCUGACGGUAUCUGAGGAAUAAGCAUCGGCUAACUCCGUGCCAGCAGCCGCGGUAAGACGGAGGAUGCAAGCGUUAUCCGGAAUGAUUGGGCGUAAAGCGUCUGUAGGUGGUUUAGUAAGUCUCCUGUUAAAGAUCAGGGCUUAACCCUGAGUCGGCAGUAGAAACUACUGAGCUUGAGUACGGUAGGGGCAGAGGGAAUUCCCGGUGUAGCGGUGAAAUGCGUAGAGAUCGGGAAGAACACCAAUGGCGAAAGCACUCUGCUGGGCCAAAACUGACACUCAGAGACGAAAGCUAGGGGAGCGAAUGGGAUUAGAUACCCCAGUAGUCCUAGCCGUAAACGAUGGAUACUAAGUGCUGUGUGACUAAAAACAGACAGUACUGUAGCUAACGCGUGAAGUAUCCCGCCUGGGGAGUAUGCUCGCAAGAGUGAAACUCAAAUGAAUUGACGG
RNAcentral lists this ribosomal RNA (564 nucleotides) under uncultured prokaryote. Its description in RNAcentral is "bacterial SSU rRNA". It matches the Rfam family "Bacterial small subunit ribosomal RNA", at positions 338 to 916 of the family's 1533-position model. The record is from RNAcentral.